RNAcentral lists this unclassified non-coding RNA (400 nucleotides) under soil metagenome. RNAcentral's name for it is "partial contains 5.8S ribosomal RNA, internal transcribed spacer 2, and large subunit ribosomal RNA". The stretch from base 1 to 122 matches the Rfam family "5.8S ribosomal RNA", at positions 35 to 154 of the family's 154-position model. The record is from RNAcentral.
GAUGAAGAACGUAGCGAAAUGCGAUACUUGGUGUGAAUUGCAGAAUCCCGUGAACCAUCGAGUUUUUGAACGUAAGUUGCGCCCGAAGCCGUUAGGCCGAGGGCACGUCUGCCUGGGCGUCACAUAUCGUUGCCUGAUGCCAGUUUCCUCGUGAUGGGUGACUGUGCAGGGCGAAUGAUGGCUUCCCGUGAGCAUUGUUGCCUCAUGGUUGGUUGAAAAUUGAGUCCUUGGUAGGGAGCGCCGUGAUAGAUGGUGGUUGAGUGACGAACGAGACCCAAUCAUGUGAGACCCCUACCGAAUUUGGCCUUCAUGACCCACAUGCGUCUUUGGAACGCUCAUGACGAGACCUCAGGUCAGGCGGGGCUACCCGCUGAGUUUAAGCAUAUCAAUAAGCGGAGGA